Molecule: ribosomal RNA, 372 nt
Filed under: uncultured organism
Description: partial 16S ribosomal RNA
Rfam family: Bacterial small subunit ribosomal RNA
Source: RNAcentral
GUAGGUGGCAAGCGUUGUCCGGAAUUAUUGGGCGUAAAGCGCGCGCAGGCGGUUCUUUAAGUCUGAUGUGAAAGCCCACGGGCUCAACCGUGGAGGGUCAUUGGAAACUGGAGAACUUGAGUACAGAAGAGGAAAGCGGAAUUCCACGUGUAGCGGUGAAAUGCGUAGAGAUGUGGAGGAACACCAGUGGCGAAGGCGGCUUUCUGGUCUGUAACUGACGCUGAGGCGCGAAAGCGUGGGGAGCAAACAGGAUUAGAUACCCUGGUAGUCCACGCCGUAAACGAUGAGUGCUAAGUGUUAAGGGGUUUCCGCCCCUUAGUGCUGCAGCUAACGCAUUAAGCACUCCGCCUGGGGAGUACGGCCGCAAGGCUG